Molecule: transfer RNA, 73 nt
Filed under: Buchnera aphidicola (Nipponaphis monzeni)
Lineage: Bacteria; Pseudomonadati; Pseudomonadota; Gammaproteobacteria; Enterobacterales; Erwiniaceae
Rfam family: tRNA
About the family: Transfer RNA (tRNA) molecules are approximately 80 nucleotides in length. Their secondary structure includes four short double-helical elements and three loops (D, anti-codon, and T loops).
Source: Rfam by way of RNAcentral
GUGGUUAUAGCUCAGCUGGUAGAGCAUUGGAUUGUGGUUCCAGAGGUCAUGGGUUCAAAUCCCAUUAACCACC